Molecule: ribosomal RNA, 395 nt
Filed under: Enterococcus faecium
Lineage: Bacteria; Bacillati; Bacillota; Bacilli; Lactobacillales; Enterococcaceae
Description: bacterial SSU rRNA
Rfam family: Bacterial small subunit ribosomal RNA
Source: RNAcentral
CAUUAGCUAGUUGGUGAGGUAACGGCUCACCAAGGCCACGAUGCAUAGCCGACCUGAGAGGGUGAUCGGCCACAUUGGGACUGAGACACGGCCCAAACUCCUACGGGAGGCAGCAGUAGGGAAUCUUCGGCAAUGGACGAAAGUCUGACCGAGCAACGCCGCGUGAGUGAAGAAGGUUUUCGGAUCGUAAAACUCUGUUGUUAGAGAAGAACAAGGAUGAGAGUAACUGUUCAUCCCUUGACGGUAUCUAACCAGAAAGCCACGGCUAACUACGUGCCAGCAGCCGCGGUAAUACGUAGGUGGCAAGCGUUGUCCGGAUUUAUUGGGCGUAAAGCGAGCGCAGGCGGUUUCUUAAGUCUGAUGUGAAAGCCCCCGGCUCAACCGGGGAGGGUCAU